GACGAACGCUGGCGGCGUGCUUAACACAUGCAAGUCGAACGGAAAGGCCCUGCUUUUGUGGGGUUCUCGAGUGGCGAACGGGUGAGUAACACGUGAGUAACCUGCCCUUGACUUUGGGAUGACUUCAGGAAACUGGGGAUAAUAUCGGAGAGGAGCUCCUGCUGCAUGGGGGGGGUUGGAAAGUUUCGGCGGUUCGGUAUGUACUCGCGGCGUAUCAGCUUGUUGGUGGGGUAGUGGCUUACCAAGGCUUUGACGGGUAGCCGGCCUGGGAGGGUGACCAGGCACAUUGGGCCUGAGAUACGGCCCAGAGUGCAACGGGAGGCAGCGGUGGGAAAUAUUGCGCAAUGGGCGGAAGCCUGAUGCAGCAACGCCGCGUGCGGGAUGACGGCCUUCGGGUUGUAAACCGCUUUCGACUGUGACGAAGCGUGAGUGACGGUAAUGGGUCAAGAAGCACCGGCUAACUACGUG
RNAcentral lists this ribosomal RNA (468 nucleotides) under uncultured bacterium. RNAcentral's name for it is "partial 16S ribosomal RNA". It matches the Rfam family "Bacterial small subunit ribosomal RNA", at positions 28 to 507 of the family's 1533-position model. The record is from RNAcentral.